ACCGGCAGCUAGCUCUCUGCAACUCUCACAUGGUCGCCCACUGAAGCUAAGCAGGGCUGCACCCGGUCAGUACCGGGAUGGGAGACCACAUGGGAAAGCUAGGAUGCUGCCGGAA
Danio rerio (zebrafish) is the source of this 115-nucleotide non-coding RNA. Lineage: Eukaryota; Metazoa; Chordata; Actinopteri; Cypriniformes; Danionidae. The record is from Rfam.